AGACAGGCAGUAUGUAUAUGAAAUAAAUUCCUCUAUUCAAGCUAACAAAAAAUAUCUCAUCUACAUUUUGUUUAUCCAUGGAAAGAAACUGAGCAUGUCCUCUGCAGUUUUACUACAGGUCAUCUGAAGGGCAGCCCAUGGAUUCCUCUGAUCCAUGCAGACUUCCCAAGGGCCAAAGAACAAGGCCCGUUUGAUCCAGCACCUGCUGUGAGCCCAUCACUUGGAUACUUUUGCUGCAAAUUUUUACCAGACUGAACAGAGUAAUAUGUAAAGGGGGAAAAAAGCUCAAAGAGCAACAGGAAAAUCAGCAGGAAAUCAACAAAAAAUAUUAUUAAGAGCACUGAUCAAUCAUCUCAGCAUUAUUUUGCCCAAUAUGGUUGCACUUGCAAUAGACCAGCAAUUGGCUCCAGGACUGGUCUGUGAGUUUUUGCCUCAACAGAAUUUAGAAGUUCUAUUGUCAGAACUGUGCAUUCAACAAAGGACUAAUAUACAGAACCUACAAGGAACUCAAACAACUUAACAAAUAAAAGCAACUAACCACUUUAAAAAGUGGGAAAAGAACAUGAACAGUCAUUUCUCAAAAGAAAACAUACUAGCAGCCAGCAAACAUGUAAACAACUACCCAUCACUUAUUAUUAGAGAAAUGCAAAUUAAAACUACAAUGAGAUACCAUCUCACACUAGUCAGAAUAAUUACUACUAAAAAGUCAAAAAACAACAGAUGUUGGUAAGGAUGCAGAGAAAACGCUUAUACACUGUUGAUGAGAAUGUAAAUUAGCACAACAUUUAUGGAAAACAGUAUGGAGACUUCUCACAAAACUAAAAAUAAAACUACCAUUUGACCCAGCAACCCCACUACCAGGUACCUAGCCAAAGAAAAAGAAAUCGUUAAAUCAAAAAGACAUCUGCACUCGUAUAUUCAUAGCAGCACUAUUCACAAUACAAAGGUCAUGGAAUUAACCUAAGUGUCCAUCAGUGGAUGACUGGAUAAAGUGUAUGUGGUAUGUAUACAGCAUGGAAUACUAUGCAGCCAUGAAAAAGAAUUAAAUUAGUUUUUUGCAGCAACAUGGAUGGAGCUGAAGGUCAUUUUCCUAUGUGAAACAACUCAGAAACAGAAAAUCUAAUACUGCAUGUUCUCACUUAAAAGUGGGGACUAAAUAGUGGGUACAUAUGGAUGUAUAAAGGGAAAUAAUAGACACUGGUGACUCCUAAAGCAGGGAGGAUGAGAGGAGGUAAGGGCUGAAAAAUUACCUAUUGAGUACAAUGUUCACUAAUUGAGUGAUGGGUACAAUGGAAGCCUAAACCCCACCACUGCGAUAUAUCCAUGUAACAAACCUGCACAUACCACCUGAAUCUACAAAGAUUCUAAAAAAUUUAAAAAUAAGUUAUGUUAUUAAAUGAACUCACAUUUAAUACUGCUAUAGCUUGUUCAACUGACAUUUCUAUCAUUAUGUAAUGCCUCUCUUUAUUGCUGGUAAUUUCUUUGCCCUGAUAUUACUUUAUCUGAUAUUAAAUUACUCAGCUAUCUUUUGAUAAAUGUUUGAAUAGUAUAUCUUUUCUCUUUUCUUUUACUUUUACUCAACCUAUAUUAUCACAUUUAAUUGUCAACCCAGAGUCUUAUAGAGUAAUAUUCAAAAUGUUCUGUAUACAAUCCAAAAUUAUUCACCAUGUGAAAAACCAGAAAUAUCUCAACUCAAAAAGAGAAAUACAUUACCUGAAGUGAUAAACAACCCAAUUUUCCUGAUUUUAUCAUCAUACAUCGUAUACUUGUGUCACAUGUACCCAAUUAAUACUUAUAAAUGUUAUGUACCCAUAAAAAUUAAAAAGAAAAAAGAAAAAGACAAUCAACAGAUGCUGACUCUGUGAUGUCGUCAUUAAAUUUGGGCUUCUGCCA
This 1893-nucleotide long non-coding RNA is filed under the name Homo sapiens (human). RNAcentral's name for it is "HSALNT0061828". Lineage: Eukaryota; Metazoa; Chordata; Mammalia; Primates; Hominidae. The record is from RNAcentral.